AGGCCAGUAGCUCUAAUGGCUAGAGCGGCGGAUUCCAAAUCCGUAGGUUGUGGGUUCGAGUCCCUCCUGGCCUGCCA
This 77-nucleotide transfer RNA is filed under the name Deltaproteobacteria bacterium. RNAcentral describes it as "tRNA-Trp". It matches the Rfam family "tRNA". From Rfam's summary of the family: Transfer RNA (tRNA) molecules are approximately 80 nucleotides in length. The record is from RNAcentral. Lineage: Bacteria; Pseudomonadati; Myxococcota; Myxococcia. RNAcentral also lists the same sequence under 1 other name.